This 616-nucleotide long non-coding RNA is filed under the name Homo sapiens (human). RNAcentral describes it as "HSALNT0197048". Lineage: Eukaryota; Metazoa; Chordata; Mammalia; Primates; Hominidae. The record is from RNAcentral.
CAGGACGCCCCGCGACUCUAGGCGGCGGGUUCUGGAAUCCACGCUGGACAUGGCCCGCAGCUAGACUCCCUCCCGGGCUGAGUCCACCGUGUCGUGCUGCGGGUCUACACGGCCGCCAGCGUACUCCCCGCCCUGUCUCCACACUACGCCUGAUUGGCGAGCCGCGGGGCGACGACCUCGUCCGCGCGUCUCCUGGACGAGUUGGGCAGGCGGUAGGGGCGACCUGGGAGAAGGUCCCUGCUGCAGACGUGGAAAUGCAUCUUGUUCCAGUACAUCACAUUCCAGGGAGCAAAGAAUUCUUUUACAAAGCCGGGUGUCAUCAUUUUCUUAGAAGAAGAACCAUUGCAACAGGGCUCAAAGUUGACUCUGCUGGAAAGGCAAGGGACAGGGAAAUGAUGAUAACAUAAGCAGCCGGCUGUGUCAUUCCUUCCAUUUGUAUGAGAAACUUGACCGAGCACUUGCCGUGCUUCAGGCAUCGUUCAAGGCAACAGGGUUAUGGUCUUGAAUAGGAGAGACAGAGUUCUCAUCUCUAGACAGACUGGCAGUAAGCCCGAAAAUAGAUCAAUACACAAUAUAAUUUCAGAUAGUGACUUUUUGCUACAAAGCCAAAAGUAAA